UCAUCCUUUCAGGGAAACUUAGGCCUUUCACGUCAGCUGAGUGGAUCUCUUGUUACUGCAGAAAAACACCACUGACAGGACAACAGUGACACAGAUGUAUCAUUGUUGACAUAGUUGUAGUUUUUUGUGUGUUGGCUCAUUUCUAUGGUACAUCUUUUAUAGUGUUUGAUAGUUACCUAGUUCACCUCAUUUUCAUAUUUACAGAAGUAAAAAUUGUUAGAAUAAAAAUGUACAUAAGUUAUCCCAUUUAUGUUUUGUUCUUAGUAGCCUUUAAAGUACACAGCAAUGCUGUGUGUAUAUGUGUGUUAUUAAACUUGUGUCUGUGAGAUUAACAGGAACGCACCCUGCCAUACCGACAGGGCAGGCUGACACCGCACCAGAUGGUCUCAUGAGUUGUGGCUGCCAUCAAGGCCACUCUCACGAGAUAGACCUGACAACAUCACUUUGUUUUCUUUUCUUAUUGUAGCAGUAUAUACUUCCCCCACCCUUUAGAAAACUAUGUAACAGGGAAUCUCCUAAACUGAAUAAAAAAGAGGAGGCUGCAUGGAUGCACUUCAGAGUAUCUUGAACCUGACAUUAACUUGGUCCUUCGAGCCGGAUUCCAACAUAUCCAGAGUUUCCAGUGGACACGGAGGAUUCCAGGGAAGACUGUGCACAGCGGCCCCCUAGGUGGGCUCCUAAGAUCCUUUUGAGAGGAACUGGAUUUCCUCCUCGUUGGCUGGAAACCGAGGAUUGACGGAAUCUGGAGGAGUUAGACGAAAGGCUGAGGACGGCGGAGUCCUGUCGCUGACUUAAAUUCCGUGAGUAGGUUUUAAGUUAAAAACCUGUGUGACUGCGGCUGUUUAGCGCGUCAAAAGAAAACCUUUGUGACUGCGGCUGUUUAGCGCGUAAAAAGAAAAGCCCUGAGGAUUCUAGACCCUAUCAGGCAAGAGAAUAAUUUGGGUGGGACGGUGGAAUCCCCUUUUAGUGAGACUAAAAGUUAAAACUCCAUGGUAAAUUAGUAGGCCUCAAAAGUGUGCGAAAAAGACGUCUGUAAAUAAGUAAAUAGGAGUGUGGAUGAUUGUGUGAGUGAACGGAGACAGAAAUACCAUUUGGUAUUUUUUCUUCUCAUACCAAAGCAGUGGGAAAGACAGCAAUAAACCUUACAGGAAGCAAAGGCAAGAAUUCUCCACUCGAAAGAGUUGAAGUGAGAAUUACCUGGAAAGGUAUUUUAAUUAUUGCCCCACUGAUAACAUCCCAACGUUUAGAACACCCUAGGUGUUAACCCAGCGUUGGACCAAAAUACAUAAAAAACAGCUCCAGUAUGGGCAAGAGUCAGAGUAAGCCCAAAACUAGGGAGGAUUUACAGUGUAAAGAUUGGAAGUAUAUAGAAAAACAGGAUCCUGAUAAAAUAAAAUAUUUGGAUAAAUGGGUAAAAGAUUACGGGUUUAAUGGUAAACUAAACGUCAAGACAAUUAAGCUACUACAGGAAACAAUACAA
Siniperca chuatsi (mandarin fish) is the source of this 1480-nucleotide long non-coding RNA. RefSeq lists it as uncharacterized. The transcript has 2 exons. Lineage: Eukaryota; Metazoa; Chordata; Actinopteri; Centrarchiformes; Sinipercidae. The record is from RefSeq and is a predicted model, not a curated record.